Bos taurus (domestic cattle) is the source of this 385-nucleotide long non-coding RNA. The record is from Ensembl. NCBI's taxonomy places the organism in Eukaryota, Metazoa, Chordata, Mammalia, Artiodactyla, Bovidae.
UACUGACUCACCCAAGGGCUUUCUCUACUCCCUAUUCCUGGAUGGACUCAAGUUUAGACACUUAUGGCGAUUGACGAAGUGACCCAGUGGACUUCCCUCUUUCGCCUGAACUCCAUGAGGAACCAGAGCUUUGAUACCAGCAGUGGUGCGCCCAUCCGCCUCCUUGGGGAGUGCAGAUGAAUUUGGAAAAGCAUUAAAUCCCUUCAUGACGACAUCAGCAGAAUGGUGACUGGCGGAAAACCCCUUGUGAAACAAGCACUUGAUUGCACUGAACUCCACCCUCACCAAAAUCUUAUAUAUUGACCUUGCCCCGCUACCUCUUUGGAGCAGACUCUCAGAGCUAUCUGAGGUGCUGUCUCCUGGGAUGCAGUGCUCAUUUUGCCCC